RNAcentral lists this ribosomal RNA (467 nucleotides) under uncultured bacterium. Its description in RNAcentral is "partial 16S ribosomal RNA". The stretch from base 63 to 467 matches the Rfam family "Bacterial small subunit ribosomal RNA", at positions 39 to 507 of the family's 1533-position model. The record is from RNAcentral.
GGGGGGGGGGGGGGGGGGGCGGGGGGGGGGGGGGGGGGGGGGGGGGGGCGGGGUGGGGGGGGGUGGUGGGGGGGGGAAGGGGGGGGUGCCCGGUGGGGAACCGGCCCGUGCUUUGGGGGGACGUUGGGGAACCGGGGGCGAAGCCCGGUAUGGAGCCCCUGCUGCAUGGUGGGGGGUGAGAAGUUUCGGCGGUUGGGGUUGGACCCGCGGCUUUUAAGCUUGUUGGUGGGGUAGGGGCUUACCAAGGCUUUGACGGGUAGCCGGCCUGAGAGGGUGACCGGCCACAUUGGGACUGAGAUACGGCCCAGACUCCUACGGGAGGCAGCAGUGGGGAAUAUUGCACAAUGGGCGGAAGCCGGAUGCAGCAACGCCGCGUGCGGGAUGACGGCCUUCGGGUUGUAAACCGCUUUCGCUGUGACGAAGCGUGAGUGACGGUAAUGGGUAAAGAAGCACCGGCUAACUACGUG